This 463-nucleotide ribosomal RNA is filed under the name uncultured bacterium. RNAcentral describes it as "partial 16S ribosomal RNA". It matches the Rfam family "Bacterial small subunit ribosomal RNA", at positions 28 to 507 of the family's 1533-position model. The record is from RNAcentral.
GAUGAACGCUGACAGAAUGCUUAACACAUGCAAGUCGAUGGGGAAGUGGUGCUUGCACCAUGGUAACCAUGGCGGACGGGUGAGUAACGCGUAAGGAACUUACCUGCGGGACCGGGAUAACAGCAGGAAACUGCUGACAAGACCGGAUAAGGUCAUUAAGCUGCAUAGCUUAGUGAUGAAAGAAGACGCCUGCGGAGAGCCUUGCGUCCUAUUAGCUAGUUGGAGGGGUAACGGCCCACCAAGGCGAAGAUAGGUAGCCGGCCUGAGAGGGUGGACGGCCACAAGGGGACUGAGAUACGGCCCUUACUCCUACGGGAGGCAGCAGUGGGGAAUAUUGGACAAUGGGGGCAACCCUGAUCCAGCAAUUCUGUGUGCACGAAGACGGUUUUCGGAUUGUAAAGUGCUUUCAGCAGGGAAGAAGGAAGUGACGGUACCUGCAGAAGAAGCGACGGCUAAAUACGUG